GCUCCCCGGCGGGAGCCCGCGCGUGGUUCCCAGCGAAGUCCCCGCGCGGCUGGGCCCAGCGUGAGUAUUCUCCGCCCGCUGUCCUCCCCCUGGAGGCGGCAGCGCCCGUUUAUUUGAGGAGGAUGAGGCUGUCACUACUACAGUUGGGACUGUUUCAUACUCCGUGCUCUUGUGCUAUGCCAGGGGGUACUGUCUAACCCACAAGUCUCUGCCAGGAAUGUUGCUGUCCACACUGGAGUGUAAGACACCUGCGGAGCUCGUCUAUGGGGCUCAUGUUGGCUGAGGCUCUGAACUACAGAACUGCAAACAACCAAGGGAGCGCCCCAGGCCCCAGGCUUCUAAUGUGAGGAAAAACACGGAAUGACAAGUGUGGGAAAGAGCAAGCACUAAAUUACUGUCAGAAAAAUAAACGGAGUAGCACAGUGCUGCUCGGUGAUUUACGGGGGCAAUUAGUCACCACCCCACGGCGCUGCUGAGGACAGCACGGCAGCAGACAAGUCAGGCCCAUGAGGAAGAAGAGGCUUUGCACUGCUCUCCAGACAACUUUUCAAACAACAAGAGAGGAUAUUUGAGCACAUUAGGUUUUGUGUCUUCAUUCUGGCCGUGUGAAGAUGUGCCUGCUUCGCCUUCCAUCAUGACUGAAGUUUCCUGAGGCCUCCCCAGCUAUGCUCCCUAUACAGCCUGCAGAACGGUCGGCUGCCUCCAAUCCUGAGGUCAUCACUCAUCAAGAGGGGAUAAUCCCAGGGACAGCAGGAUCUGCUUCGUUACUUGGAUUUAGGAGCCAGAAACCCAUCAGGCAACUAAACAGUAACAAUGACCCGCCAUUAAACACACUGAGAGAAGAGCAUGAUGAAGAGUUUGUACAAGAAGAAGCCAGGAGCACUUGCUGACAAUGCUUACAGAGACGCAGGCUUCUAUGAGCUCUGCCUGUUGAACUGCAGUAAAAAUAGAUCUCCUUCCCCAGAGAGGCUUGGAUGUGGGCACAAUAUCAGUUCAGACGAUGGUCAAUGCAUGUACUUAAUAGAGUGAAAAGACUUUGGACUGUGAAGUCAGAUUACCUGGGUCUGAAUUGUUAUUCUUCUACUUCUUUGUAGUAUGCUUUCACCACAUUAAAAAUUGUCUGAGCCUCAA
RNAcentral lists this long non-coding RNA (1131 nucleotides) under Homo sapiens (human). Its description in RNAcentral is "non-protein coding lnc-ZNF644-1:17". Lineage: Eukaryota; Metazoa; Chordata; Mammalia; Primates; Hominidae. The record is from RNAcentral.